ACGCUAUAGCGCUAUUUAGCGUUUGUGGAGGAGGACUGCUAAGCUAUGGAGAUUUUAACGCUAAAUGAUUGUUCCCGCUAUUAGCAGCUAAUAGCACGCUAAUUUCGCUAAAUUGGGUUAGUUUAGCGCCGCUAUUUGGCCUUGGGAAUCAUUUCUAUCGACCCAAAUAACUUGGAGGCCCAAAUAGCAGGGAUAUGCCCC
Molecule: long non-coding RNA, 201 nt
Filed under: Sorghum bicolor (sorghum)
Lineage: Eukaryota; Viridiplantae; Streptophyta; Magnoliopsida; Poales; Poaceae
Description: long non-coding RNA (SBIC_LNC005426)
Source: RNAcentral